GCUACGGUGGCUUUGUGGUUAAAGCGUCCGCUUCGGAUGCUAGAGGUCUCGGUUUCAAAACCCGACCGAGUCAUACCA
Potamilus streckersoni is the source of this 78-nucleotide non-coding RNA. Lineage: Eukaryota; Metazoa; Mollusca; Bivalvia; Unionida; Unionidae. The record is from the annotation of a GenBank genome assembly.